RNAcentral lists this transfer RNA (71 nucleotides) under Stegodyphus mimosarum. It matches the Rfam family "tRNA". From Rfam's summary of the family: Transfer RNA (tRNA) molecules are approximately 80 nucleotides in length. Their secondary structure includes four short double-helical elements and three loops (D, anti-codon, and T loops). Lineage: Eukaryota; Metazoa; Arthropoda; Arachnida; Araneae; Eresidae. The record is from Rfam by way of RNAcentral.
GCCUUCAUGGUGUAACGGUAGCACACUCGGCGCCUAUUCGAGAGGUCCAGGUUCGAAUCCAAGCGAAAGCA